UUUUUUUUCCUGUCUUUCUGUGCACUGUUGUUCAAUGGCAGAGGUGGGAUUCACCUGCUAUAAAGUCUUGAAUGUAACCAUCUAUAAUGUCUUGAAUGUAACCAUAACAAAUCCUGUCGAUCUAUGAGGAAUUUCAAAAUGAACAGGACUAAAAUCUGUUUCUAGUGAAAACUUGCAUUACCGUAUAGAGAACUAUAUAAUUGGUUCUUUCCACGCAACCACUUGAACUUUAUUUUCUCUAAAGCCCAACAUUUACUUCAAGGGCUCUAAAGUCAAAACUAUAUUUUGGAUGUCAAUAAAGGUUUUAGCCAUUAUGUGGGGGAAUGUGUUGUGUUAUUUUUAAGUGAGCUAACACAAUUAACUAAAAACUGGCAUAGGAUGCAACUCGACGUAGAUGUGCUCAAGGAGUAUGAUAAUUUUGGUCGCCACAGCUUUGAUGUGAUACUUUGUAAUCAAUCUCAGAUCCGAACCACCUUGAACAGUUGAACAACAGAUUUAAUAUUGUAACAAGUAUUUCUACGUAGUGCUUUGAAUAUUUAAUAACAUUUGGAGAAUUUAGGAGACACUGGUCUUCUGUUGGAUUCUUUCAUUCCAUUAUGUCUUAAGGCCAAAACACUUUGAAACCCAAGCUUCUGUUUUUUUACUUCUGGUCUUCCUAUAUUUCCUAACCUAAGUAAUAAACCCAAAAUCCCUCAUGAUUUAUUGAUAAGCC
Molecule: long non-coding RNA, 712 nt
Filed under: Glycine max (soybean)
Lineage: Eukaryota; Viridiplantae; Streptophyta; Magnoliopsida; Fabales; Fabaceae
Description: long non-coding RNA (GMAX_LNC002564)
Source: RNAcentral